UGAGGAAUAUUGGUCAAUGGGCGGGAGCCUGAGCCAGCCAAGCCGCGUGAGGGAGGAAGGCCCUAUGGGUCGUAAACCUCUUUUGUCAGGGAACAAAAGCGAGUAUGUAUACUAGUCUGAGUGUACCUGAAGAAAAAGCAUCGGCUAACUCCGUGCCAGCAGCCGCGGUAAUACGGAGGAUGCGAGCGUUAUCCGGAUUUAUUGGGUUUAAAGGGUGCGUAGGCGGCGGUGCAAGUCAGCGGUAAAAGCCCGGGGCUCAACCCCGGCGAACCGUUGAAACUGCAGUGCUAGAGAAGGCGAGAGGUACGCGGAAUGCGCAGUGUAGCGGUGAAAUGCUUAGAUAUUGCGCAGAACUCCGAUUGCGAAGGCAGCGUACUGGCGCCUGACUGACGCUGAGGCACGAAAGCGUGGGGAUCGAACAGGAUUAGAUACC
This 433-nucleotide ribosomal RNA is filed under the name uncultured bacterium. Its description in RNAcentral is "bacterial SSU rRNA". It matches the Rfam family "Bacterial small subunit ribosomal RNA", at positions 355 to 786 of the family's 1533-position model. The record is from RNAcentral.